Molecule: ribosomal RNA, 473 nt
Filed under: uncultured bacterium
Lineage: Bacteria
Description: SSU rRNA
Rfam family: Bacterial small subunit ribosomal RNA
Source: RNAcentral
AGGACGAACGCUGGCGGCGCGCUUAACACAUGCAAGUCGAACGUGAAGCUGGAGCUUGCUCCGGUGGAAAGUGGCGAACGGGUGCGUAACACGUGAGCAACCUGCCCCGAAGACUGGGAUAACACCGGGAAACCGGUGCUAAUACCGGAUACCUUCUUCCGAUCGCAUGGUUGGAUGAAGAAAUGGAUUCCGCUUCGGGAUGGGCUCGCGGCCUAUCAGCUUGUUGGUGAGGUAACGGCCCACCAAGGCGACGACGGGUAGCUGGUCUGAGAGGACGACCAGCCACACUGGGACUGAGACACGGCCCAGACUCCUACGGGAGGCAGCAGUGGGGAAUCUUGCUCAAUGGGCGAAAGCCUGAAGCAGCGACGCCGCGUGCGGGAUGAAGGCCCUCGGGUUGUAAACCGCUUUCAGCAGGGACGAAAUUGACGGUACCUGCAGAGAAGGCCCGGCAACUACGUGCCAGCAGCCGC